AGGUUUUGGAAGGAUCUCCGAGGAUAGUAGAGGAGGAUAGGUUAAGAGCAAAAACGAUCAUUCUUGGAGUAUAUCGUCACCCUUCCUUCGACAGUUCGACGUACCAUCGAGUAUUCAAGGUGGCGUCCUAACGACGCCUUGGCCUGGAUGGAUGGUCUCGACGGACUGGUUCUGGCUCUCCGAGUGAUCAUUCCUGUUGGCAUGUCCCUUUCUACUGUUUGAGGUUAUUUUGUAAGAGCUUAAAUUCCACAUCAUCGUCUUUGAUUCUCCGAACACUCUGUGGACGUUGAUCCUGACUCAUUGCUACGCAAAGAUCGCUGAAAAACAGUGGUCUGACUUAACAGGCGACCGAUCUGACAAGUGCGAUAUGGACUUACCAGGGUUAGGACAAACCCCAUCGGUCAAAUAUAGAAGUACUGCUGUCGAUGGUCCUUCGAUUGGUCUGGUGUUGCUGCGGGCACUGCUUGCCUCGACGGUGCCUGGGGAAAGGAAUCGGUAGCAAUGGUACCGAUGUUCAACAGGAUUGGACUUUGUAUUCGCAUAGCAGAUGACCCGACACUGUUCAUCGAUGUCUUCCUGAUACAGCAUUGAACCGAUCCCAAGGGUCUUUGUAUCCAUUUGAAGUACGAAUAGGAGCCAGGGAUUGGGACUUACCGGGGUUAGGACAAACCCCAUCGGUCAAAUAUAGAAGUACUGCUGUCGAUGGUCCUUCGAUCGGUCUGGUGUUGCUGCGAGCACUGCUUGCCUUGACGGUGCCUGGGGAAAGGAAUCGGUGGCAAUGUACCGUUGUUCAACAGGAUUGGACUUGGUAUUCG
This is a long non-coding RNA of Orussus abietinus, 815 nucleotides long. RefSeq lists it as uncharacterized. The transcript has 4 exons. NCBI's taxonomy places the organism in Eukaryota, Metazoa, Arthropoda, Insecta, Hymenoptera, Orussidae. The record is from RefSeq and is a predicted model, not a curated record.